GCCGCGUGUGUGAUGAAGGCUUUCGGGUCGUAAAGCACUGUUGUAUGGGAAGAAAUGCUAAAAUAGGGAAUGAUUUUAGUUUGACGGUACCAUACCAGAAAGGGACGGCUAAAUACGUGCCAGCAGCCGCGGUAAUACGUAUGUCCCGAGCGUUAUCCGGAUUUAUUGGGCGUAAAGCGAGCGCAGACGGUUGAUUAAGUCUGAUGUGAAAGCCCGGAGCUCAACUCCGGAAUGGCAUUGGAAACUGGUUAACUUGAGUGUUGUAGAGGUAAGUGGAACUCCAUGUGUAGCGGUGGAAUGCGUAGAUAUAUGGAAGAACACCAGUGGCGAAGGCGGCUUACUGGACAACAACUGACGUUGAGGCUCGAAAGUGUGGGUAGCAAACAGGAUUAGAUACCCUGGUAGUCCACACCGUAAACGAUGAAUACUAGGUGUUAGGAGGUUUCCGCCUCUUAGUGCCGAAGCUAACGCAUUAAGUAUUCCGCCUGGGGAGUACGACCGCAAGGUUGAAACUCAAAGGAAUUGACGGGGACCCGCACAAGCGGUGGAGCAUGUGGUUUAAUUCGAAGCAACGCGAAGAACCUUACCAGGUCUUGACAUCCUUUGAAGCUUUUAGAGAUAGAAGUGUUCUCUUCGGAGACAAAGUGACAGGUGGUGCAUGGUCGUCGUCAGCUCGUGUCGUGAGAUGUUGGGUUAAGUCCCGCAACGAGCGCAACCCUUAUUGUUAGUUGCCAGCAUUC
This 740-nucleotide ribosomal RNA is filed under the name Leuconostoc citreum. Its description in RNAcentral is "bacterial SSU rRNA". It matches the Rfam family "Bacterial small subunit ribosomal RNA", at positions 396 to 1126 of the family's 1533-position model. Lineage: Bacteria; Bacillati; Bacillota; Bacilli; Lactobacillales; Lactobacillaceae. The record is from RNAcentral.